GAUGAACGCUGGCGGCGUGCCUAAUACAUGCAAGUCGAGCGAACAGACGAGGAGCUUGCUCCUCUGACGUUAGCGGCGGACGGGUGAGUAACACGUGGAUAACCUACUUAUAAGACUGGGAUAACUUCGGGAAACAGGAGCUAAUACCGGAUAAUAUAUUGAACCGCAUGGUUCAAUAGUGAAAGACGGUUUUGCUGUCACUUAUAGAUGGAUCCGCGCCGCAUUAGCUAGUUGGUAAGGUAACGGCUUACCAAGGCAACGAUGCGUAGCCGACCUGAGAGGGUGAUCGGCCACACUGGAACUGAGACACGGUCCAGACUCCUACGGGAGGCAGCAGUAGGGAAUAUUCCGCAAUGGGCGAAAGCCUGACGGAGCAAUGCCGCGUGAGUGAUGAAGGUCUUCGGAUCGUAAAACUCUGUUAUUAGGGAAGAACAAAUGUGUAAGUAACUAUGCACGUCUUGACGGUACCUAAUCAGAAAGCCACGGCUAACUACGUG
This 497-nucleotide ribosomal RNA is filed under the name uncultured bacterium. RNAcentral describes it as "partial 16S ribosomal RNA". It matches the Rfam family "Bacterial small subunit ribosomal RNA", at positions 28 to 507 of the family's 1533-position model. The record is from RNAcentral.